UACGUAGGGGGCAAGCGUUGUCCGGAAUCAUUGGGCGUAAAGCGUGUGUAGGCGGCUUGGUAAGUCCGCACUGAAAGCCCGGGGCUCAACCCCGGGAGGCGGGUGGAUACUGUCAAGCUCGAGUCCGGAAGAGGCGAGUGGAAUUCCUGGUGUAGCGGUGAAAUGCGCAGAUAUCAGGAGGAACACCAAUGGCGAAGGCAGCUCGCUGGGACGUGACUGACGCUGAGACGCGAAAGCGUGGGGAGCAAACAGG
This 253-nucleotide ribosomal RNA is filed under the name uncultured bacterium. RNAcentral describes it as "partial 16S ribosomal RNA". It matches the Rfam family "Bacterial small subunit ribosomal RNA", at positions 524 to 776 of the family's 1533-position model. The record is from RNAcentral.